RNAcentral lists this ribosomal RNA (400 nucleotides) under uncultured picoeukaryote. RNAcentral's name for it is "SSU rRNA". It matches the Rfam family "Eukaryotic small subunit ribosomal RNA", at positions 137 to 549 of the family's 1831-position model. The record is from RNAcentral.
UAUUGGAUAACCGUAGUAAUUCUAGAGCUAAUACAUGCUUACAGUCCCAACUUUUUGGAGGGAUGUAUUUAUUAGAUUUCAAUCAACAUUUUUUGCUGACUCAUGAUAACUUAGCGGAUCGCAGAGGCCUCGUGCCGGCGACAAAUCAUUCAAGUUUCUGCCCUAUCAGCUUUCGAUGGUAGUGUAUUGGACUACCAUGGCAUUAACGGGUAACGGAGGAUUAGGGUUCGAUUCCGGAGAGGGAGCCUGAGAAAUGGCUACCACAUCCAAGGAAGGCAGCAGGCGCGUAAAUUACCCAAUCCUAAUUCAGGGAGGUAGUGACAAUAAAUAUCGAUGCGGGGCCCUUUGUGGUCUUGCAAUCGGAAUGAGAACAAUUUAAAUCCCUUAACGAGGAUCAAUU